This 497-nucleotide ribosomal RNA is filed under the name uncultured bacterium. RNAcentral's name for it is "partial 16S ribosomal RNA". It matches the Rfam family "Bacterial small subunit ribosomal RNA", at positions 28 to 507 of the family's 1533-position model. The record is from RNAcentral.
GAUGAACGCUGGCGGCGUGCCUAAUACAUGCAAGUCGAGCGAACAGACGAGGAGCUUGCUCCUCUGACGUUAGCGGCGGACGGGUGAGUAACACGUGGAUAACCUACCUAUAAGACUGGGAUAACUUCGGGAAACCGGAGCUAAUACCGGAUAACAUCUUGAACCGCAUUGUUCAAUAGUGAAAGACGGUCUUGCUGUCACUUAUAGAUGGAUCCGCGCCGCAUUAGCUAGUUGGUAAGGUAACGGCUUACCAAGGCAACGAUGCGUAGCCGACCUGAGAGGGUGAUCGGCGACACUGGAACUGGAACACGGUCCAGACUCCUACGGGAGGAAGCAGUAGGGAAUCUUCCGCAAUGGGCGAAAACCUGACGGAGCAACGCCGCGUGAGUGAAGAAGGUCUUCGGAUCGUAAAACUCUGUUAUUAGGGAAGAACAAAUGUGUAAGUAACUAUGCACGUCUUGACGGUACCUAAUCAGAAAGCCACGGCUAACUACGUG